GUGGUAAUGCCGGAUGCUCCAGUUGACCGCAUGGUCCUCUGGGAAAGCUUUUGCGGUAUGGGAUGGGGUCGCGUCCUAUCAGCUUGAUGGCGGGGUAACGGCCCACCAUGGCUUCGACGGGUAGCCGGCCUGAGAGGGCGACCGGCCACAUUGGGACUGAGAUACGGCCCAGACUCCUACGGGAGGCAGCAGUGGGGAAUAUUGCACAAUGGGCGCAAGCCUGAUGCAGCGACGCCGCGUGCGGGAUGACGGCCUUCGGGUUGUAAACCGCUUUUGACUGGGAGCAAGCCCUUCGGGGUGAGUGUACCUUUCGAAUAAGCACCGGCUAACUACGUGCCAGCAGCCGCGGUAAUACGUAGGGUGCAAGCGUUAUCCGGAAUUAUUGGGCGUAAAGGGCUCGUAGGCGGUUCGUCGCGUCCGGUGUGAAAGUCCAUCGCUUAACGGUGGAUCCGCGCCGGGUACGGGCGGGCUUGAGUGCGGUAGGGGAGACUGGAAUUCCCGGUGUAACGGUGGAAUGUGUAGAUAUCGGGAAGAACACC
Molecule: ribosomal RNA, 539 nt
Filed under: Bifidobacterium adolescentis
Lineage: Bacteria; Bacillati; Actinomycetota; Actinomycetes; Bifidobacteriales; Bifidobacteriaceae
Description: partial 16S ribosomal RNA
Rfam family: Bacterial small subunit ribosomal RNA
Source: RNAcentral